This 29-nucleotide non-coding RNA is filed under the name Homo sapiens (human). Lineage: Eukaryota; Metazoa; Chordata; Mammalia; Primates; Hominidae. The record is from RNAcentral.
UUCUCUUGGAAAAGCUGGAGAAGAGGAGU